UACCAGCACCUCGAGUGGUCGGGACGUUUAUUGGGCCUAAAGCAUCCGUAGCCGGUUCUACAAGUCUUCCGUUAAAUCCAGCUGCUUAACAGAUGGGCUGCGGAAGAUACUAUGGAGCUAGGAGGCGGGAGAGGCAAGCGGUACUCGAUGGGUAGGGGUAAAAUCCGUUGAUCCAUUGAAGACCACCAGUGGCGAAGGCGGCUUGCCAGAACGCGCUCGACGGUGAGGGAUGAAAGCUGGGGGAGCAAACCGG
This 253-nucleotide ribosomal RNA is filed under the name uncultured bacterium. RNAcentral's name for it is "partial 16S ribosomal RNA". It matches the Rfam family "Archaeal small subunit ribosomal RNA", at positions 474 to 727 of the family's 1478-position model. The record is from RNAcentral.